UAUAUAUAUUUUGGAGUUGAAGCGAGAUAAGUUUAGUUAUUCAAAUUAUUAAUUAUUAAUUCUGAAAAUAUUUAAAAAUUUAAGUUUUCAAAUUUCGCGCCUUUACUACUUAUGCUAUAGCUGCAGAACUUAUUGUUACGGCGGACGAUAAUGUCGAGUACAUUCUAGAAUGUGUAAAAGAAAAUACUCUCGAACUUUUCCGAAUAUGCUAGAGCCUAGCUCUCUGAAUAUAUAAGGGCCCGGUAUCACCCGCCAGAGUUAGUUCGAUUUGAAAAGCGAUUGCGAAAGGAACUGAAAGAAGUUAUCUGUGAGCAUUUAUUUUGAAGUAUCACGUGUCACUAUUUUUAAUAGUGUGUUUAAUUAAUUCUCGAUUUUGAAGCCGAGAAGAAAAAAGUCGUCUGUGAGCCUUUAUUGUGAAAUAUCAAAUAAUACAAUGCCUAGACGUAAAAAAGGAGGAGAUCUUGCCAGUUUUGCAGCGAAACGGCGGAAACAAAAAGAACAUAGAAGAAAUGAAACGGAAGAAGAGCGCGAAGCACGUUUACAAAAUCAACGAACUAGGAUGAGAACUCUGAGAAGCACAAAAAAUGAAGAAAGAAAAGAGAAGAAAGUAUAGAAGAAUCGAGAAUUUUAAAAGAUAAUUUAACAAAGGAAGCAUUCCACUACGAACCGACGAAAAAAUAUUACAAUCAUAAACAUGUUGUGAUCGGAAAAAUGGAUAACAUUUGCCAAUUUUGCCACGCGAAAAAAUUCAGUAAAGAAACAGCAGGACUCUGUUGCAUCAAUGGAAAAAUUCGACUACCACCACUGGAAGCACCUCCACAGGAAUUUCUACAUUACAUGACCGGGGAAACACAAGAAUCAAAACACUUUCUUCAAAAUAUAAGAUUAACCUCAAAGAACCCUGCUUCUCUCACGGUCAGCUAUAUGUAGCUUGCUCAAGGGUAGGAAAUCCGAAAAAUCUAUAUAUAUAUAUAUAUAUAUAUAUAUAUAUAUAUAUAUAUAUAUAUAUAUAUAUAUAUAUAUACUCCAGACAAUAAAAUGAAAAACGUUGUUUAUAAGCAAAUAGUGUAAAAAAUGAGCGAAUGUUUUCAAUAAAUUUUUUUACUAUUA
This is a long non-coding RNA of Diabrotica virgifera virgifera (western corn rootworm), 1110 nucleotides long. RefSeq lists it as uncharacterized. The transcript is spliced from 2 exons. NCBI's taxonomy places the organism in Eukaryota, Metazoa, Arthropoda, Insecta, Coleoptera, Chrysomelidae. The record is from RefSeq and is a predicted model, not a curated record.